This 488-nucleotide ribosomal RNA is filed under the name uncultured bacterium. RNAcentral describes it as "partial 16S ribosomal RNA". It matches the Rfam family "Bacterial small subunit ribosomal RNA", at positions 28 to 507 of the family's 1533-position model. The record is from RNAcentral.
GAUGAACGCUGGCGGCGUGCUUAACACAUGCAAGUCGAACGGAAAGGCGCUGCUCUUGCUGGGUGCUCGUGUGGCGCACGGGUGUGUAACACGUGAGUAACCUGCCCUUGACUUUGGGGUAACUCCAGGAAACUGGGGCUAAUACCGGAUAGGAGCUCCUGCUGCAUGGUGGGGGAUGGAAAGUUUCGGCGGUUGGGGAUGGACUCGCGGCUUAGUAGCUGGUUGGUGGGGUAGUGGCUUACCCAGGCUUCGACGGGUAGCCUGCGUGAGCGGCUGACCGGCCACAUGGGAACUGGGCCACGGACAAGACGCCUGCGAGACGGAGCAGUCGGGAACGGGAGGCAAUGGGGGGAAAUCUGACCCAGCGAGCGGGCGCGUGGGACGGAGGCGCUGGGUGCGGAAUGCCGGCCUUUGGGUGAAGAACCGCUUUGGCCUGAGACGAAGCGGGAGUGACGGUAAUGGGUAAAGAAGCACCGGCUAACUACGUG